RNAcentral lists this ribosomal RNA (470 nucleotides) under uncultured bacterium. Its description in RNAcentral is "partial 16S ribosomal RNA". It matches the Rfam family "Bacterial small subunit ribosomal RNA", at positions 28 to 507 of the family's 1533-position model. The record is from RNAcentral.
GACGAACGCUGGCGGCGUGCUUAACACAUGCAAGUCGAACGGUGAACGAGGGAGCUUGCUCCCUCCGGAUCAGUGGCGAACGGGUGAGUAACACGUGAGCAAUCUGCCCCGAACUCUGGGAUAAGCGUUGGAAACGACGUCUAAUACCGGAUACGACGCGGGAGGGCAUCCUCUCCGCGUGGAAAGAACUUCGGUUCGGGAUGAGCUCGCGGCCUAUCAGCUUGUUGGUGAGGUAACGGCUCACCAAGGCGACGACGGGUAGCCGGCCUGAGAGGGUGACCCGCCACACUGGGACUGAGACACGGCCCAGACUCCUACGGGAGGCAGCAGUGGGGAAUAUUGCACAAUGGGCGCAAGCCUGAUGCAGCAACGCCGCGUGAGGGACGACGGCCUUCGGGUUGUAAACCUCUUUUAGCAGGGAAGAAGCGAAAGUCACGGUACCUGCAGAAAAAGCACCGGCUAACUACGUG